AAAGGGAGACCUAAUUCAGGUAAAAGACGAAAAAAAAGUAGUCGCUACCAAGAAUCAAUCCCAAAAGGUCGGAGCGAGGCGAAAUUGGCUUUCAAACUAGGUUCUGGGUUCAAACAAGACCUGAAUCAGGAACAAGGGCUAUUAGCUCAGGUGGUUAGAGCGCACCCCUGAUAAGGGUGAGGUCCCUGGUUCGAGUCCAGGAUGGCCCACCUGCACAGGUGGCAAAAACAAGAGAAGCGAGGAAUCAGCACCUUAUCUUACUUAUAUAGUAAGAGAGAAUGCUGGCUCUGAGUAAAGAGUCCAGAGGAACCUUGAAAACUGCAUAGCGCUAGGUGAAAAAGCCAAAAAAGAAGACCGCAAG
Molecule: transfer RNA, 361 nt
Filed under: uncultured Microcystis sp.
Lineage: Bacteria; Bacillati; Cyanobacteriota; Cyanophyceae; Chroococcales; Microcystaceae
Description: partial 16S-23S ribosomal RNA intergenic spacer
Rfam family: tRNA (bases 136-209)
Source: RNAcentral